CAUUUGUUCCUUGUGAGGGGGAUAGUAUAUUAUCCUCAAAUAAUAGUGGAGUGUUCUAAAGAAAGGGCUAGCAUAGGAGAUGCAACGGGGUAGCAUAUUAUCCGAGGAGUGUUCUAAAGUUGCCAAACAUAUCUCCCCCGAAUCUUUUUGCGUUUGGAUCCUUUUGCAUCUCCUAUUCCUCUUUUGGUUUCUUCUUCUUGCCUCUAUCAUUCCUUUGGAUGUUUCUUGGGCUAUUUGGAUGUUUCUUGGGCUAUUUGGAUGUUUCUUGGGCUAUUUUUGCUGCUUGCUAGGCGUUUAUUUCUUGGGUUUUUGCCUUUCACUUUCAUUUUCUUCUCUUUCUUCUUUGACUUUUAUGUGCUUCCUCUUCACCUGAUUGACACUGUGUUGUUUAUGUGCUGCCUACUUUGUUUUGCGGGUACUAUGCUUGUCGUGGAUUGCUACCUCACGUGUACGCAGAGGACAUCUUGGGUGUUCAGGUAGCUGGUUUACCCACUAAUUUAUUUUACUUACCCUAAAAAGCAUUUCUGUUUGGUGCAUCAUGUUCUUCCAAUUGCUUGAUUGAUUAGAGAGCCCUGCCACAUUUAUUUACGAGAGGAGGCGCUUGAUAGAUAGGGAUUCAGUAGAAGCAACUACUAUAUAAGGAUGACCCUUGUAUGUUUAUGAAAUAAAAUUAUGAUGUAGGCCUCAGACUUUCUUGGGUUUAUUAAGUGGAAGAGCUAGAUUAGCCAGCCAGUUCCUUUUGGGGUUUACACAUGAAUCCUACAUGUUCCAUAUGAUUUUGAGGCCUCGUGUUAUGCCAGCGGUUUGAUUAUUGUAUCAGCUAGCUGAUUUACCCCCUAAUUUUCUUUAAUUUGGUUCGAUACUGUGCAUGUAUUAAUGUUUAGUGUCACUUGGAUUAAGAAGAAAGAGCUGGUACACCGUACAAAAGAAAGAAGUAUACAGAUAUGCAGAUGCCAGUAGCUAUAAUUUUAUAUAUGCAAAGCACAGAGACAAUUCUAGAUAGAAGUGUAUUGAACUACUGAUGGUUUGGAAUUGGUGGUGCAUUAUCACCGGUCUACUGUAUCGGUAAUCACACAUUCAACAUGUGAUUCAGUACAAUAUUUAGCAAGUCUGCAUGUUGUUUUAUACGGGGUCUUGAAUAUUUGGUUUUUCUUCUGUUUUGGAUGAAAUUAUGAUUCUAUAUGCCAAUGAUUUUUUCUUCUCUCAGCUUGAAUUCCGAGAGUAAUAGAACUUGCAUGACUUGAUCAAAUUUCUUUACUUACAGUAUAUGUAAUGCUUGGUUGGUCUAUUCACUGUUAUCCUUUGUUUGCAGCUUUGGAAUAUACAAUAAGUUCGAUGGCUAGCAAUUCAGGAUUCUCGGUUGUCCAAUCACCCAGUAACUUUGAGGUGGGAUUUCUCUUAAUUUGCUUUUAGAGGUAUAAGUUCAGUGGAACACAGAUGUAUGUAUCUUACAUGUAUACCUAUAAGCAGUGAGCAUUCUCUUAAUUGUAUGAGAGCAAACAACAAAUUACUGGAUACAUGGCUGAAGUAUGGUUGUAAUCCAUAUCCAUGUUUGCGCGAGCUUUUAAAACUGACGAAAAUGUUAAUUAUUUUCUUUAGUUACUCUAGCAAACACUGACCUUGAUUUGGUAUCAACAUUUCCAGUUCUACAUUGGAAUUUUAAAUGUAGGCAAUGUACUUUUUGUUACACAACAACUAUUGCUUCUGAAACCCUUUUUGCAAUUCCUACAUCAAGGCCUAAUGUGUUGCCAAAUAAAGAGACGAUUAAGAGAUAUUUGACUGUUGCCCUCUGUCUCUCAUAUUAGGAUUCUUGCUGAAACUUAAUGGCAAUGAUUUAAAUAGAGACGGCUCUACGGUAUGGAUAUGAGUACGAUAGUGUUUGACAGUGGCACAAGGAAUGGUGCUCGCAGGUAUCGUGCGGCUAUGCGGGUUGUCAGCAUGGUGUUGCAGUGGUCAGCUGCAGUCCACCUACGCCAUGUAUGGAUCAAUAGCACUAUGCAUGAUUCAAUUGCACAUAUGUCUUAGUUUGGAUCAGCACGUCAUAUCUGCAUUUAUUGUAUGCCUUGUUUUAGUAGUGCCAGUCGCAAGGCUUGAUUAGUACCCGAAUGCUUUAAUAUCUUCCUUUGCUUACGGUUUGAUAUUGCUUAUUUUGUUAAUACCAUAUGAUGCCAAUGGAUUAAAGCUUUCUGUCAUUAUUGUUUAGAAUGUACUGUCCUAUGCUUUUGUUGGAUAAAUUCGGGUGCUUCCUAUUUCAUUUGUUGGAUCAUUCUUGGCAAACCCAGAUUUAACAUUAUGGAAAAACUUUUACCACUAUUCUUGACAUGCUCUCUGUUUUGGAGGUUGCUUCCACAGUACCACAAUAUGUUGAUGGUGACACAUUAUGGAAGGGGAGAGGAUCAAUGACCUGAUGUGCAUCAUUGAUGGCGAAGGUGUGUAUGUAUACACCGAGUAGCAAAUGGCAUUGCUUCUAAAUUUUGUUGAUGAUGUUGUUAUUGACACACUGGUUGGCUCGACUGUUCAGGUAGAUGCCGCCGGAAACGCCACCGUGUCAGAAUGCCAAUGAUUAAAGUUGUGUGCAGUUAACGUGUCUCUGUGAGAGGACUAAAACAAGAGGUAACCCACGGACCUUACAUAUUAUGUAAUAUGUAGCAAUAUUUGGGGCAUAACAAAAUGUAGUUGUGAUGAGAUCUUGUUAUCAGUAUUCAUCAGAAAAGGGUAUGUAAUAUGAUGUAUCUAAUUUUAACCUUUCCUCCAAGACCAUCCUCUCCUAAUAUGUUGAUUGGCUUAUGUGUCACCUUUUUUGUUAUUGAGUAGAUGCAGAAUGGGAGAUAGAUAGGGGGAGAACAAAGGAUGUUGUGUACUCUCGAUCUGAUGCCACCAAAGUUGAGAUGAUUUGUGCUCUCUCCCUCCAUCCCAUGUAUGUAGUUAUUGUUUCCCUCUCUGAUUAUUUUGUGCUAGGUCUCCCUCUUCUCUGAAUACUCAUAUUGCCUUUGCUUAAUGCCUUAACCUGCUGAUGUGUGUUCUGUUGUUUGUAGUCCCUUCAUGGGUUCCUAACUAAUCUACAUUGAUACCAUUUAUUAGUAUUUUGUGUACACCAUAAUUAGUGCUUAGCGAGCUCUGUUUAUUGUUUAUGCUGUUUUCCCUUUGAACCUUCAGCAUUCUUGGGAAAUAUUAACACAUAAAAUUACUAAGUUUGGAUUGGACCCUCCUGAUAUAAUUUGUCUUUGAAUAUUUUCUUUUUAUUUAAUCUUUAGUGUUGCUUAAUGCAGUAUUACAUAACCAAAUAUUGGCUUCUGGUUUUGGCAGGAUGAAUGUUUUUUUUCUUCUGAUUUUAAUGUAUUGUUCUGCAUGUGAAUAAAUGAAGGUGCAACUAAUGUUCUUUUCUAUUCAUGGUAAAAAAAGUGUCCAUCUGCAUUCAUGUCAGUGUUAACAUUACUAAAGGAAAGAAAAAGAUUCGUUUGAUUCUAGCAGAACAUAGGAUCAAAAAUUAGUUGUAUCCAAUGUUUGUCUCUAAGAUUAUUUUCAUGUCCAUGUGCUUUAUCGUUUAAUGCCUGGCUCAUGUAACCAUUCCAAGGACAAAAUGUGUUAUUAAUUUCUGUAGGGUGGGACGAUGCUUCAUGUCCUUUGUAUAGUUAAAUCUAAAUGCAUGUAUUAUAAACCUAUGUUGAACUUGAUGUUGCCUUAUAAUCUUAUGCCUUCUAUCACAAAUGAGUGUUUCUUCUUCACUUUAUUUUGUUAUCAUGUUUGAAUUCAUACGCUAUACGUAGAUUCCUACUAACUUAGUACUACUUGCUUCAGCAAAAUGUCACACCCUCGUGCCACAAGGCUGCUGAUCUCCUUGCUUCCAGGUCAAGGAAGGAAACCAUGUCAUCAUUGGCCAGUGCAGGUAUUGCUCUUUAGCUGAUAUAUUGUUUAGUUUCUUCAUGGUUACAAAAAAUUCUUGGGAACAUGAGGCUUAAAAGUUUCAACCUCGUUCAAGUGCUCCAAAGCUUUGCGCGUCUUCUGUUUUCUUUUAAAUAAUUGAGCAAUUGAAGCAACCAUUAAUUGUUUUGUUUUUUACCCAUACUUACCUUUUAUGGGAAAUAGUUUGUGAGUUCCCCAUUGGGGUGAGUACUUGAUGUAUGUGUUGUAUAACCUAUAUUGACGUGGUCAUAACGAAGCAAUCAUAAAUAUAUUUUUUCCUUGUGCAGAAAAUACUCUUAUGUGGCAACCAUAUGUUUACUAACAUAUAGUGGGGUUUUGGAAACUGGUAGUUACUUUUGAUGUCUUGACAACAAAUUAUUCUGAUUCUAGGAACUGUUUGAUUACCAGUCCACAUGUUUGUUUAAAUUGAUGAACUGGGGAAUCAGAUUUUCAUGCGAUAUUGUAUGUUUGUCAGUUGCUAUGUAAUUUUAAGAAAGAUCCUCAAUUCUAAGUGCACUGGAGCUUAUAAUAGAUUUUUGCGAGGGUAGAUAUAGAUAGUUUCUUGUGGCCUCCCUGUCGGAUUGCAUCUAUGUUCUAAAAUCUUAUCCAGACCUAAGCAAAUCGUGAAAUUUUUGGGAGGGGCGCACCUUGCUCCUCACGCCGCUGCUGGAGGUUCACCUUUUUCUGCUCCUCCCGUUUUUCUUGACUUGCAGGUUGCCGCCGGAACCAGAUGGGGUCUCCAGCCAGCCUGCCAUGUGGCUUGCAGUCCUGAUUGUUGGCAGUUAUCCUUACAUAUGUAUAAGGGUUUUAUUACUUUGUUAGUAUGACAAAGUGAAGACAGAACUGAUGUAUUGAAUUACUAAUGGAGUGGUUUUGAUGAGAACUGAAACCUUUUACUUUCAAGGUUGGACAUUGAUAUGAACUGUGAGUAUUUAAUAGAGAAAUUCAGUUCAUAUGAAGCAAAACAAAGGCAUGUAAUACCUUGCAUUGACAGUGAUUAUUUUCCCAUUGUGGUACUUCAAAUCUGAUGAAGAAUUUAUUUCAUGACUGAGACAUGGGAUUUGGAGAAUCUCAGUUAUGGCAUGUUAAUUAAGGGCAGCCCGGUGCAUGUAGCUCCCGCUUGCGCAGGGUCGGGGAAGGGUCCGACCACUUUGGGUCUAUAGUACGCAGCCUUUCCCUACAUUUCUGUAAGAGGAUGUUUCCAGGACUUGUUAUGGCAUGUUAAUUAAUCACCUUUAUUUUGUCAUGGGACUGAAUGUUUUGAUCUGAUACUAUAUGUU
This 5183-nucleotide long non-coding RNA is filed under the name Triticum aestivum (bread wheat). RNAcentral describes it as "long non-coding RNA (TAES_LNC007637)". The record is from RNAcentral. Lineage: Eukaryota; Viridiplantae; Streptophyta; Magnoliopsida; Poales; Poaceae.